RNAcentral lists this ribosomal RNA (574 nucleotides) under Papiliotrema laurentii. RNAcentral's name for it is "partial large subunit ribosomal RNA". It matches the Rfam family "Eukaryotic large subunit ribosomal RNA", at positions 96 to 659 of the family's 3401-position model. The record is from RNAcentral. Lineage: Eukaryota; Fungi; Basidiomycota; Tremellomycetes; Tremellales; Rhynchogastremaceae.
AACCGGGAAGAGCUCAAAUUUGAAAUCUGGCGUCCUCAGGGCGUCCGAGUUGUAAUCUAUAGAGGCGUUUUCCGUGCCGGACCGUGUCCAAGUUCCUUGGAACAGGAUAUCAAAGAGGGUGACAAUCCCGUACUUGACACGACGACCGGUGCUCUGUGAUACGUCUUCUACGAGUCGAGUUGUUUGGGAAUGCAGCUCAAAAUGGGUGGUGAGUUCCAUCUAAAGCUAAAUAUUGGCGAGAGACCGAUAGCGAACAAGUACCGUGAGGGAAAGAUGAAAAGCACUUUGGAAAGAGAGUUAAACAGUACGUGAAAUUGUUGAAAGGGAAACGAUUGAAGUCAGUCGUGACCGAGAGGCUCAGCCGGCUCUGCCGGUGUAUUCCCCUCGGUCGGGUCAACAUCAGUUUUGUCCGGUGGAUAAGGGCGGUAGGAAGGUGGCACCCUCGGGUGUGUUAUAGCCUGCCGUCGCAUACAUCGGGUGAGACUGAGGAACGCAGCUCGCCUUUAUGGCCGGGGUUCGCCCACGUCCGAGCUUAGGAUGUUGACAUAAUGGCUUUAAACGACCCGUCUUGAAA